Non-coding RNA from Pan troglodytes (chimpanzee), 45 nucleotides. The record is from Rfam. NCBI's taxonomy places the organism in Eukaryota, Metazoa, Chordata, Mammalia, Primates, Hominidae.
ACAAAGGCUCUUUUCAGAGCCACUUCAACAAUCAUAAAAAGAUGA